This 985-nucleotide ribosomal RNA is filed under the name metagenome. Its description in RNAcentral is "bacterial LSU rRNA". It matches the Rfam family "Bacterial large subunit ribosomal RNA", at positions 1942 to 2925 of the family's 2925-position model. The record is from RNAcentral.
AUAACGGUCCUAAGGUAGCGAAAUUCCUUGUCAGGUAAGUUCUGACCCGCACGAAUGGCGUAAUGAUUUGGGCACUGUCUCAACAGCCCGCCCGGCGAAAUUGUAGUACUGGUGAAGAUGCCAGUUACCCGCAACUAGACGGAAAGACCCCAUGGAGCUUUACUGCAGCUUAAUACUGAAAUUCGGUAGUACAUGUACAGGAUAGGUGGGAGACUGAGAAAUACAGGCGUCAGCUUGUAUGGAGUCGCUGUUGGGAUACCACUCUUGUACUGCUGGGUUUCUAACCUGCGGCCGUGAAUCCGGUCGGGGGACACUGUUAGGCGGGCAGUUUGACUGGGGCGGUCGCCUCCCAAAAGGUAACGGAGGCGCUCAAAGGUUCGUUCAGCACGGACGGAAAUCGUGCAAUGAGUGUAAACGCAUAAACGAGCCUAACUGCGACACCGACGGGUGGAGCAGUAACGAAAGUUGGAGUUAGUGAUCCGGUGGUAUGUGAGUGGAAAUGCCAUCGCUCAACGGAUAAAAGCUACCCUGGGGAUAACAGGCUGAUCUCCCCCAAGCGUCCACAGCGACGGGGAGGUUUGGCACCUCGAUGUCGGCUCGUCACAUCCUGGGGCUGUAUUCGGUCCCAAGGGUUCGGCUGUUCGCCGAUUAAAGUGGCACGCGAGCUGGGUUCAGAACGUCGUGAGACAGUUCGGUCCCUAUCUGUUGCGGGCGUAAGAGAUUUGAAGGGAGCUGUCCUUAGUACGAGAGGACCGGGAUGGACGUACCUCUGGUGCACCAGUUGUCCUGCCAAGGGCAUAGCUGGGUAGCUAUGUACGGACGAGAUAAACGCUGAAAGCAUCUAAGCGUGAAACUCCCCCUAAGAUGAGAUCUCUCAUCCUUCAAGGAGUAAGGACCCAGAAAGACGAUCUGGUUGAUAGGCCGAAGGUGGAAGCGCAGUAAUGUGUGCAGCUGAUCGGUACUAAUAGUCCGAGGGCUUGACCUA